Molecule: ribosomal RNA, 450 nt
Filed under: uncultured bacterium
Lineage: Bacteria
Description: bacterial SSU rRNA
Rfam family: Bacterial small subunit ribosomal RNA
Source: RNAcentral
UACGGAAGGCAGCAGGGGGAAUAUUGCACAAUAGGCGCAAGCCUGAUGCAGCCAUGCCGCGUGUAUGAAGAAGGCCUUCGGGUUGUAAAGUACUUUCAGUCGUGAGGAAGGUGUUAAGGUUAAUAACCUUAGCAAUUGACGUUAGCGACAGAAGAAGCACCGGCUAACUCCGUGCCAGCAGCCGCGGUAAUACGGAGGGUGCGAGCGUUAAUCGGAAUUACUGGGCGUAAAGGGCACGCAGGCGGUUAAUUAAGUUGGAUGUGAAAUCCCCGGGCUUAACCUGGGAAUGGCAUUCAAGACUGGUUAGCUAGAGUCUUGUAGAGGGGGUAGAAUUCCGAUGUGUAGCGGUGAAAUGCGUAGAGAUGUGGAGGAAUACCGGUGGCGAAGGCGGCCCCUGGACAAAGACUGACGCUCAUGUGCGAAAGCGUGGGGAGCAAACAGGGAUUAGAU